Molecule: long non-coding RNA, 1992 nt
Filed under: Brassica rapa (field mustard)
Lineage: Eukaryota; Viridiplantae; Streptophyta; Magnoliopsida; Brassicales; Brassicaceae
Description: long non-coding RNA (BRAP_LNC005572)
Source: RNAcentral
UUUUUUUACUUUUAUCCUAUAUUCCUAUAGUUUUCUUCUUAAAUUAUAUUUUGGAACUUCGAGGUCGACGAAAGCUGUCGCGUGUAUUACGAAGGAUCUUUUUAAGCUAUUCCGUGUAUUACGUGGUUAGGAUCUCUUAAUUUAACAGAUACAUAAAGAAUAUUAAUUCUCAUGUGUGUGGAUGAAUCUGAUGUGUCAUAAAAUGUUAUUUAUAUACUUUUGUACUCGCCCAAAAUGUUACGAUGUCUUUUUUUUUUUGUCAAAGAAAAAACAGACUUCGUAACAUUUUUUUUUUGACAAAAUGUUAUGAUGUCUUUUGUGUUGGCUUUAGUGUUGAGGUUAAUAUGAAAUAUUUUUUUGACUGAAGGCUAGGUUAGUAUGAAAUAUUAUUCUCCAGUAUUUUAGAUAACAUAAUUUCAUUACAGUGUGGCAUGUUUCCUGAUAUGUACGUGCUGCGUAUUAUUCGAGACUGCGUAAGAGUUAAGACUAAGAAGAAUACCGUGUAGUACAGAUCAUUUAAAGGAUUAUGGAAAGUCGAGUUAUUGAACAAAACAAAAUGUAAGAGCCCGUGAAACUUGAAAGUGCAUAUAGUCGUGAAUAAUUAAUUAUAUCACAGAUGUAUGCAAUUAGUUAGAUGAAACUAUGGGUCACGGAAAAAUAAGAAAACUGAAACAUUUUGUCUCACACAUGAACAUGUGCAUUUAAGAAGCUGCCAACUAAUUAGAUUAGAGGGAGCAUUAUGCAGUUGACCAUUCAGACAGUAUAUUCGAUGCCAUUAGCCCAUUCAACCAUUUUCUUAAGCAGCCUCAAAUCUUGCUUCCAUUUUAUCACGAGGAUUGCUUAGCAUUUAUGCUCACUAUUAUAAAAGCUGCAUACUUAUUUGGCGCGCAGAUCCGCCGCUGUUUUAGUCCACCGUGAAUCUCAAGCUUCUUCCGCCGCAAACCGCUCACAUGUUCAAAGACCACGUGCUUCCCACAUGCGUCCCACACUUCGCCUCGCGUCUUCCAUGCUGACUUUUAAUAGUAUACAAAUAAGUAUAACUUUUUUUUGUCAACUAACAAUAUAACUUAUAUACAAGUAUAUUAUAGAGGCCAUUAGCUAGUUUCUCAAUUUUUUAACACAAGUGUUGUUUUAUUUUUCUCGUGUACUUCAAUAUGGAGUAGGAGAUAAUUUUCUAAAGUUUGCGUAAGCGUAAAUAUAAGCAUGUACUUGGUAAUGAUGCAAUGCAAAUUACUAGCUAGACAUUACGUAUCGCGUAUAUCGUGCAUGCAUUUUAUCAGCAUGAUCCUUGACCAAGAUAAAACUGUCCGUCCAGGUAAUUAAUCGUAUUCUAAGUACAUUCAAAAUGUUAACCACGGACAAUAUUGCACGAGUUUAUCUUAGUCUUUUUUUUUCGUGUGGUCAGGGAUUUGUAUCAGAGCUUGGAUAUACGUAGCGAUAAACUCGAGUUGUUCGGAAAAAUGCGGCUAGGAAUAAAAUACAGUAAUACACAACAAGAUAAGAUGGCGAAAGGUUCAGACUUUUGCUAGAAAAUGGAGGAAUGUAAUAUAAAAUUGGUGAUAUAAUAUAGCGAUGAUAAUGGUUGAGUUCUCCGCCAAUCCAUUUCUAACGCUCUAGAGACUUCUUAAUAUUUUUGAAGUUUUUUAUAUCAACUAAUUAAAGUCUAAACCACCCAUUAUAACCAUCAUGAUUAUUGCAUGCGACUAAACCAAAAACUUUAAAAAUUCAAUAUAUAGUGAUGUUAAUCUAUAUCACGAUCGGCGUCUUAUGAUAUUAUUCUUAAUUCCAUUUAUUAUUUAUAAUACGGCAUCUAUAUUUGAAUUUUGAACCACAUUUUGUUUGGCUAGUUCCGUAGACAAUUCGUGGUGAUUACAAGUUAAUGCUACAGAGUCAGAAAUCGGAAAUUCUAUUGUAAAUUAAUCUCAAUGAAAGAACUCACGCCCGCAGAUGAAUCAACACAUCACAGAUAUAAUUUAAUGUUUUGCAUUAUAU